GACGAACGCUGGCGGCGUGCUUAACACAUGCAAGUCGAACGGAAAGGCCCUGCGUUUGUGGGUUUCUCGAUUGGCGAACAGGGGAGUAACACACGAGUAACCUGCCCUUAACUGUGUGAGAACUUCAGGAAACUGGGGCUCAUACCCGAUAGGAUCUCCUGCUGCAUGGGGUGGGUUGGAAAGUUUCGGCGGUUGGGGCUGGACUAGCGGGUUACCAGCUAGUUAGGCGGGUAGUCGCUUACGAAGGCUUCGACGGGUAGCCGGCCUGAGAGCGUGACCGGCCACAUUGGUACUGAGGUACGGACCAGUAGCGUAUGGGAGGCAGCAGUCGAGAGUAUUGCAGAAUGGGCGCAAGUCUGAUGCAGAAACGCCGCGUGCGGGAUGACGUCCUUCGGGUUGUAAACAGCUGUCGCCUGUGACGAAGCGGGCGUGACGGUAAUGGGUAAAGAAGCACCGGCUAACUACGUG
RNAcentral lists this ribosomal RNA (468 nucleotides) under uncultured bacterium. RNAcentral's name for it is "partial 16S ribosomal RNA". It matches the Rfam family "Bacterial small subunit ribosomal RNA", at positions 28 to 507 of the family's 1533-position model. The record is from RNAcentral.